CUGCUCUCAGCCCCUGGGACCUUCUCACAGAUAGCCCAGGACUGAGGCCGCAGCAUCACAGAACACUUUCACAUGCUCUUCAUGUGCAGCAUCCGAAUCCACUGCAAGAAGCUGUACUGCACAACAGACUUCUUGGAUAUUUAUUUUUCAUCACUGUGCUUCUGUUAUCUGAUGACUUUUUAUGGAUACCAAAGCGAGGAGCUGAGAAGCAAGUGACUUCUAGAUUAGCUGAGAAAUGACAUCACAGAAGAAGCUAAGAGGCCCAUGGGAGAAGGACAAUGCUGUGCAGGGCUGAGGGAGCUCCACACAGACCCCAGGAUGACACAAAAACACCAUGCAGGUCUAUUUGCUGAACAGACAUUCUUAAAGAGAAAAUUCAUUUGUCAGCACUGAAUGAAAAUGAAAUCUCCAGAGGCCACAGAACAUAAUAGGCAAUAUUUAGAAAUUGAGAAUGAAAAUUAAAGCUGUC
Phasianus colchicus (ring-necked pheasant) is the source of this 469-nucleotide long non-coding RNA. RefSeq lists it as uncharacterized. Lineage: Eukaryota; Metazoa; Chordata; Aves; Galliformes; Phasianidae. The record is from RefSeq and is a predicted model, not a curated record.